Molecule: transfer RNA, 65 nt
Filed under: Arytaina devia
Lineage: Eukaryota; Metazoa; Arthropoda; Insecta; Hemiptera; Psyllidae
Description: tRNA-Leu
Source: RNAcentral
CUAAUGUGUCAGAUUUAAUGUAUUAAAUUUAAGAUUUAGCUAUGAGUUCCUUUAUUCCUUUAGUA